Molecule: ribosomal RNA, 428 nt
Filed under: uncultured bacterium
Lineage: Bacteria
Description: partial 16S ribosomal RNA
Rfam family: Bacterial small subunit ribosomal RNA
Source: RNAcentral
GUGGGGAAUAUUGGGCAAUGGGCGCAAGCCUGACCCAGCAACGCCGCGUGAAGGAAGAAGGCUUUCGGGUUGUAAACUUCUUUUACCAGGGACGAAACAAAUGACGGUACCUGCUGAAUAAGCCACGGCUAACUACGUGCCAGCAGCCGCGGUAAUACGUAGGUGGCGAGCGUUAUCCGGAUUUAUUGGGUGUAAAGGGCGUGUAGGCGGGACAGCAAGUCAGAUGUGAAAACCAGAGGCUCAACCUCUGGCCUGCAUUUGAAACUGUUGUUCUUGAGUGUCGGAGAGGUAAUCGGAAUUCCGUGUGUAGCGGUGAAAUGCGUAGAUAUACGGAGGAACACCAGUGGCGAAGGCGGAUUACUGGCACAAUACUGACGCUCAUGUGCGAAAGCUAGGGCAGCGAACGGGAUUAGAAACCCCAGUAGUCC